AGCGCUUUGGCAGUGUGGUUAGCUGGUUGUGUGGAUAUUAUUUCACAGCCACUAUCUUCACUGCCGCGGCGAC
This is a microRNA precursor of Lucilia cuprina (Australian sheep blowfly), 73 nucleotides long. It matches the Rfam family "mir-34 microRNA precursor family". From Rfam's summary of the family: Human mir-34a was discovered computationally and later experimentally verified. The record is from Rfam. NCBI's taxonomy places the organism in Eukaryota, Metazoa, Arthropoda, Insecta, Diptera, Calliphoridae.